Molecule: long non-coding RNA, 364 nt
Organism: Neopelma chrysocephalum (saffron-crested tyrant-manakin)
Lineage: Eukaryota; Metazoa; Chordata; Aves; Passeriformes; Pipridae
Exons: 2
Source: RefSeq, a predicted model, not a curated record
CCUCCUUUUCUCCAGGCUGAGCCCCCCCAGCUCCAUCAGAGGCUCCUCAUCAGGCUUGUGCUCCAGACCCUCCUAGUAGUCAAGAGACAGAUGCAAUAACUUCAGGAACAGCAACAUGACAGGAACAAGUAAGGAAAAAAGUACCUUAUAAGUAAGCAAAAAUAAGAAAAAGAACACUACGGAAGAGAAAAAUGGUCUUGUCUGCAAUAAAACAUCCAGAUGAUGAGCACUGCUGAGGAGAGACUUAUCUCCAACAGCUCUUAACACAAUAGACCUCAACCCCAGCUGAAGACUAGAUGCAAGACUGCCAAAAGUAAAUACUGUGGAUAUUUGUAGGGACUCGUAAAGCUCCUCUCACGUUUCA